RNAcentral lists this ribosomal RNA (1425 nucleotides) under Triticum aestivum (bread wheat). RNAcentral describes it as "partial small subunit ribosomal RNA". Lineage: Eukaryota; Viridiplantae; Streptophyta; Magnoliopsida; Poales; Poaceae. The record is from RNAcentral.
AUGACAACAGCUACAAAAAGCCUAGAGCGGCGGCGGCGGCAGCAGCAGGAAGUUGCAAUGCAAGGCAGCGAGGUGAAGCCCGGGAGGAGCCAAACGGGCUCGGUGCAGAAGCACCUCAACGUCGGCCUCGUCGUCGGCGGUCUCCUCAUGCUCCUCACCUAUCUCGCCGUCAGCCUCCCUCCUCAUGUUGUCAUUAGGGAAGUAGGACAGAUCAUGGAUCAUAACAUCAAAGCUCCCCAUGAAACAGAGAAUGGCAAGGUGGUGUGCAGCACGGCGGGGCGCUCCUAUGACCUAUCCGACACCUGCCAAGCGGACGGCGACGUCCGCACCAACGGCACAGCCCUGUCGGUGACCCUCGUCCCGGCGAGCGGGUCCGAGUUGGAGCGUCGGGAGUGGAUGAUCACGCCAUACUCGCGGAAGCUCGACGGCAUAAGGAAGGUCACCGUGACGCAGCUACAGGACGGGGCCGCCGCGGUGCCAUGCACGGUGACUCACGACGUGCCGGCCGUCCUCUUCGCGAUCGACGGGUACGCGGGCAACUACUGGCACGACUACAGCGAUAUCCUGGUUCCAUUGUUCAUCGCGUCGCGGCGGUACCACGGCGAGGUCAUGUUCCUCAUCACCAACAUCCGGCUCCAUCCGCAGUGGCCGGUCAAGUACAGGGCCUUCCUCCGGGGGCUGUCCAAGUACGACGCGGUGGACAUGGACGGCGACGCGCAGGUCCGGUGCUUCCCGCGCGUCACCGUGGGGCUCCGCCUCUACAAGGAGCUGAGCAUCGUCCCCGAGCUGGUGCCGGGGGGCCGCCUCUCCAUGGCCGACUUCACCCGGUUCCUACGCGAGACCUACGCGCUCCCACGCGCCGCCCCAGUCAGCCUGGCCCGAGACCAGGAGCCGCCGCACAAGAAGCCGCGGCUGCUGCUGAUCCACCGGGGCCACUACCGCCGGAUCCUGAACGAGCCGGAGAUCGCGCGGGCGGCAGUGGCCGCGGGGUUCGAGGCGGUGGUGGCGGAGCUGCGGGGCGACGCGCCCGAUGCGGAGCAGGCGCGGGUGGUGAACUCGUUCGACGUGGUGCUGGGCAUCCACGGCGCGGGGCUGACGAACGCGCUGUUCCUGCCGCCCGGCGGCGUGCUGAUCCAGGUGGUGCCGUACGGGAAGAUGGGGCUCAUCGCGAGCACCGCGUUCGGCUGGCCCGCCGCGGACAUGGGGCUCGGGUACUUCGACUACGACGUGAGCGUGGAGGAGACCUCGCUGCUGGAGGCGCUGGGGCCGGAGCACCCGGCGAUCAAGGACCCCGACUCCGUCCACCGCAGCGGCUGGCCCAAGGUCUUCGAGCUCUACCUCGCCAAGCAGGACGUCCGCAUCAACGCCACCCGCUUCGCGCCAACGCUGGCGCGAGCGCUCGACCACCUACGGCGCUCUCAUUAG